CCAAUCAAGACCAGAACUGUCCAGCUAAGGCCAGUCUAAAGCCAACUCUGACUUGUGAGCAAAAUAAAUGCUUAUUAGUCAUUGAAUUUUGGGAUGGUUUGUUACAGAACAUUACAGUGGCAAUAGUUAACUGAAGAUAAAACUCCCUUCAGUGAUGGACACCACCACUUCCCCACUGAGAUCGUUCAAGUCUAACUCCUAUUACCAUCUGAGGGAACAAGCACAUUGCAGAAUUAAGUAGCAGAGGAUUUCUAGACUUAACAUGUAAUUUAAUUCAAUCCAAAUAUAUUGAGCACCUAUUAGAGACACUACAGCGAAUUAAAAAGGAAUAUGGCCACUGCCUACCUAGAAGUUUAUACAGUCUAGCAGAGGAGCCAAGACCACAGGUAAAUGUGAGCACUGCUGAAGCAGAAGUGGAGAAUGGAAGCAGGAGGUCAGGAUUUCUAGCCAAAUGUCAGCUGGGAGUCAGAGAACUUCUAUCUAGAUUCUGAUUUUUAGCAACUUACUGCUGGUUCACUUGUUCGGAGAGGUUUCUUCACACCUCUCUUCCACUCCUACCUCCCCCUGCUAAAAUCCACUGACUGAAGAAUACUUAGUAUGGAUCCACAUGGAACCAAAAGCCCCAACUGAAUGGAGUCACAUGCAUCAGCACAGUGGCUACCGGUUUCGUCUGCUCACCCAGCCUCAUGUAUUUAGGGACUGAAUUCAAGCUAGAAGCACCCAACACUUUUGUCUUUUGGAAUCUAAUCCAAGUGCCAAUGUACAUCUAAAA
This 772-nucleotide non-coding RNA is filed under the name Pan troglodytes (chimpanzee). Lineage: Eukaryota; Metazoa; Chordata; Mammalia; Primates; Hominidae. The record is from RNAcentral.